RNAcentral lists this ribosomal RNA (548 nucleotides) under uncultured Glomeromycotina. RNAcentral's name for it is "SSU rRNA". It matches the Rfam family "Eukaryotic small subunit ribosomal RNA", at positions 548 to 1097 of the family's 1831-position model. The record is from RNAcentral. Lineage: Eukaryota; Fungi; Glomeromycota.
UUGGAGGGCAAGUCUGGUGCCAGCAGCCGCGGUAAUUCCAGCUCCAAUAGCGUAUAUUAAAGUUGUUGCAGUUAAAAAGCUCGUAGUUGAAUUUCGGGGUCAGUAGAUUGGUCGUGCCACUGGUAUGUACUGGUCUUACUGGCUCCUCCUUCCUGAUGAACCGUAAUGCCAUUAAUUUGGUGUUGCGGGGAGACUGGACUGUUACUUUGAAAAAAUUAGAGUGUUUAAAGCAGGCUAACGCUUGAAUACAUUAGCAUGGAAUAAUGAAAUAGGACGUUCGAUCUUAUUUUGUUGGUUUCUAAGAUUGACGUAAUGAUUAAUAGGGAUAGUUGGGGGCAUUAGUAUUCAAUUGUCAGAGGUGAAAUUCUUGGAUUUAUUGAAGACUAACUACUGCGAAAGCAUUUGCCUAGGAUGUUUUCAUUAAUCAAGAACGAAAGUUAGGGGAUCGAAGACGAUCAGAUACCGUCGUAGUCUUAACCAUAAACUAUGCCGACUAGGGAUCGGAUGAUGUUAAUUUUUUAAUGACUCAUUCGGCGCCUUACGGGAAA